GGUCGUUUAGCUCAGUGGUUAGAGCGUGUGCUUUACAAAAUUGUCGCACAAGGUCGCAGGUUCGACCCCUGCAACGAUCA
This is a transfer RNA of Coniochaeta ligniaria NRRL 30616, 80 nucleotides long. It matches the Rfam family "tRNA". From Rfam's summary of the family: Transfer RNA (tRNA) molecules are approximately 80 nucleotides in length. Their secondary structure includes four short double-helical elements and three loops (D, anti-codon, and T loops). Lineage: Eukaryota; Fungi; Ascomycota; Sordariomycetes; Coniochaetales; Coniochaetaceae. The record is from Rfam.